RNAcentral lists this ribosomal RNA (430 nucleotides) under uncultured bacterium. RNAcentral's name for it is "bacterial SSU rRNA". It matches the Rfam family "Bacterial small subunit ribosomal RNA", at positions 355 to 776 of the family's 1533-position model. The record is from RNAcentral.
UGGGGAAUAUUGCACAAUGGGCGAAAGCCUGAUGCAGCAACGCCGCGUGAGUGAAGAAGGCCUUCGGGUCGUAAAGCUCUUUUGCUAGGGAAGCAGGGCAGCUAGGUAAAUAAUCUAGUUGUUUGACUGUACCUAGAGAAAAAGCACCGGCUAACUCCGUGCCAGCAGCCGCGGUAAUACGGAGGGUGCAAGCGUUGUUCGGAAUUACUGGGCGUAAAGCGCACGUAGGCGGGUUUUUAAGUCGAUUGUGAAAUACCCGGGCUUAACCUGGGAUGUGCAGUCGAAACUGAAAGUCUUGAAUGCUAGAGAGGAUGGCGGAAUUCCUGGUGUAGAAGUGAAAUUCGUAGAGAUCAGGAGGAACACCGGAGGCGAAGGCGGCUAUCUGGCUAUGCAUUGACGCUGAGGUGCGAAAGCGUGGGGAGCAAACAGG